UACGGGGGGAGCAAGCGUUGUUCGGAUUUACUGGGCGUAAAGGGCGCGUAGGCGGUCAGCACAAGUCAGUUGUGAAAUCUCCGGGCUUAACUCGGAAAGGUCAACUGAUACUGUGCGACUAGAGUGCAGAAGGGGCAACUGGAAUUCUCGGUGUAGCGGUGAAAUGCGUAGAUAUCGUAAGGAAGACCAGUGGCGAAGGCGGGUCUCUGGGCAGUUCCUGACGCUGAGGCACGAAGGUCAGGGGAGCAAACGGG
This 254-nucleotide ribosomal RNA is filed under the name uncultured bacterium. RNAcentral describes it as "partial 16S ribosomal RNA". It matches the Rfam family "Bacterial small subunit ribosomal RNA", at positions 524 to 776 of the family's 1533-position model. The record is from RNAcentral.